UACGUAGGGGGCAAGCGUUGUCCGGAAUUAUUGGGCGUAAAGGGCGUGUAGGCGGUAUCGUAAGUCAGGUGUGAAAGUUUGAGGCUCAACCUCAAAAUUGCACUUGAAACUGCAAUACUUGAGUACUGGAGAGGUAAGUGGAAUUCCUAGUGUAGCGGUGAAAUGCGUAGAUAUUAGGAGGAACACCAGUGGCGAAGGCGACUUACUGGACAGUUACUGACGCUGAGGCGCGAAAGCGUGGGGAGCAAAC
RNAcentral lists this ribosomal RNA (250 nucleotides) under uncultured bacterium. Its description in RNAcentral is "partial 16S ribosomal RNA". It matches the Rfam family "Bacterial small subunit ribosomal RNA", at positions 524 to 773 of the family's 1533-position model. The record is from RNAcentral.